This 386-nucleotide ribosomal RNA is filed under the name uncultured bacterium. RNAcentral's name for it is "bacterial SSU rRNA". It matches the Rfam family "Bacterial small subunit ribosomal RNA", at positions 28 to 416 of the family's 1533-position model. The record is from RNAcentral.
GACGAACGCUGGCGGCGUGCUUAACACAUGCAAGUCGAGCGGUAAGGCCCUUUCGGGGGUACACGAGCGGCGAACGGGUGAGUAACACGUGGGUGACCUGCCCUCAGCUCUGGGAUAAGCCUGGGAAACCGGGUCUAAUACCGGAUAUGACUCCAUGACGCAUGUUGUGGGGUGAAAGCCUUGUGCGGCUGAGGAUGGGCCCGCGGCCUAUCAGCUUGUUGGUGGGGUGAUGGCCUACCAAGGCGACGACGGGUAGCCGGCCUGAGAGGGCGACCGGCCACACUGGGACUGAGACACGGCCCAGACUCCUACGGGAGGCAGCAGUGGGGAAUCUUGCGCAAUGGGCGAAAGCCUGACGCAGCGACGCCGCGUGAGGGAUGACGGCU